AUCUACUAAGCAAUACUUAGAGAGAUAUUCUAAAAUCUUAAAACAUGGAGCAUCUAUAUGGUGGAGAUGGAUGACAUAUUUUUUGCAUACUUCCAAUGUAGAAGUAGCAAGCAUGAUAUGUGGGGUGUGUGUGUGUGUGUGAUCUUGAUCUUGGGACUAUGACAUAAUUCUCAACUAGGGUCAACAAGGUUUGACCGAACUCAACACAAGUACAAGUAGCGUAUAU
RNAcentral lists this long non-coding RNA (226 nucleotides) under Sorghum bicolor (sorghum). RNAcentral's name for it is "long non-coding RNA (SBIC_LNC002286)". Lineage: Eukaryota; Viridiplantae; Streptophyta; Magnoliopsida; Poales; Poaceae. The record is from RNAcentral.